CCUACGGGAGGCUGCAGUAGGGAAUCUUUCACAAUGGACGCAAGUCUGAUGGAGCAACGCCGCGUGAGUGAAGAAGGGUUUCGGCUCGUAAAGCUCUGUUGGUAGUGAAGAAAGAUAGAGGUAGUAACUGGCCUUUAUUUGACGGUAAUUACUUAGAAAGUCACGGCUAACUACGUGCCAGCAGCCGCGGUAAUGCGUAGGUGGCAAGCGUGGUCCGGAUUUAUUGGGCGUAAAGCGAGUGCAGGCGGUUCAAUAAGUCUGAUGUGAAAGCCUUCGGGUCAACCGGAGAAUUGCAUCAGGAACUGUUGAACUUGAGUGCAGAAGAGGAGAGUGGAACUCCAUGUGUAGCGGUGGAAUGCGUAGAUAUAUGGAAGAACACCAGUGGCAAAGGCGGCUCUCUGGUCUGCAACUGACGCUGAGGCUCGAAAGCAUGGGUAGCGAACAGGAUUAGAUACCCCGGUAGUC
Molecule: ribosomal RNA, 465 nt
Filed under: uncultured Lactobacillus sp.
Lineage: Bacteria; Bacillati; Bacillota; Bacilli; Lactobacillales; Lactobacillaceae
Description: bacterial SSU rRNA
Rfam family: Bacterial small subunit ribosomal RNA
Source: RNAcentral